CAGGGAUUAACAAAGAUGGGCGAUCCUGAGUCAAAUCCUGUUUCCCAAAACAAACAAAGGUUCAAAAAACAAAACAAGAAAGGAUAAACAUUUAUAGUGGUAGCAACAAGUAACAACGGGCUUGCUUGGCUGCGAUUAAACUUGUUGCUGUUUGCUUGGCUUGUAAGUCCGUGAAACUGAAACUUUGGCUUGACAUUGGGGAGUAAGGCAGUAAUAGAUUAAGGUUUUCUUAUUUAUUUACAUGUAUUGGUUUCUUUCCUAGUUAGGUGACACUAUAUUAUAUACGUGUAACUUUUAGCUUUAUGAAUUAAAAUACUACAUAGGCACGCCAAAGAUACCAGCUA
Molecule: non-coding RNA, 344 nt
Organism: Nicotiana tabacum (common tobacco)
Lineage: Eukaryota; Viridiplantae; Streptophyta; Magnoliopsida; Solanales; Solanaceae
Source: RefSeq, a predicted model, not a curated record